UGGGGAAUAUUGCACAAUGGGCGAAAGCCUGAUGCAGCGACGCCGCGUGAGGGAUGACGGCCUUCGGGUUGUAAACCUCUUUCAGCAGGGACGAAGCGCAAGUGACGGUACCUGCAGAAGAAGCACCGGCUAACUACGUGCCAGCAGCCGCGGUAAUACGUAGGGUGCAAGCGUUGUCCGGAAUUACUGGGCGUAAAGAGUUCGUAGGCGGUUUGUCGCGUCGUUUGUGAAAACCAGCAGCUCAACUGCUGGCUUGCAGGCGAUACGGGCAGACUUGAGUACUGCAGGAGAGACUGGAACUCCUGGUGUAGCGGUGAAAUGCGCAGAUAUCAGGAGGAACACCGGUGGCGAAGGCGGGUCUCUGGGCAGUAACUGACGCUGAGGAACGAAAGCGUGGGUAGCGAACAGG
RNAcentral lists this ribosomal RNA (409 nucleotides) under bacterium. RNAcentral's name for it is "partial 16S ribosomal RNA". It matches the Rfam family "Bacterial small subunit ribosomal RNA", at positions 355 to 776 of the family's 1533-position model. The record is from RNAcentral.